ACACAGGAAUGAGAUUCCGCCUGCUGGAAUGGGUCUCCCAUGUAAAUGGAGCAAGGUGUGAUCAAAGACAAUGAAAACCACAUUUGCAUGCCAGUAACUUGUUUCAACUGUGAUCAUAUACCACCAGAAAGCUGACUGCAAGUGCAAUGCUCAAUCAGGGAAGAGAAACAUACUUUUGAUCUCCUAGAGCAGCCAUCGAACAGGCAGCACAGCUUCCAAUACCACCAUGGGCAGCAGUGACAAACACCGUGAGUGAGCUCAGACCUGGAGCCUGCAGGAGGACGCAAAGGUCCACACACAGCCUCCAGAACCAGAACCAGAAGAGCCACGUUAAAGAAACGUCACAUGCAGAAAGCAAGUAACUGAGGCCAAGCUCUUUCAAGGUAUUUAGGCUCAUAACUUCCACAGGAAUCAAUAAGAGGUGGAGCACAAGAGUUGAUGCUGUUCGCCCCCUAAUCAAAAAUCACACAGGCAUGCUGGAAAGUUUAAUUAAAAUUGAAGAGGAGCUUCAUUUACCUCCUGAAAUCCAGGCAGAUGUUGACUGAUUGAUUAAGUGGCUUAAGUCAUUUGAAUUUGUACUUCUUACUACAAUAUGGUUUAAAGUACUUCAGUGUAUUGAUAAGAACAAGGUCCUAUAAAGCUCCAAAUUAACAAUGGAAGAGGAAGCUAAACACGUGAGCAACUUAGUCAAGAAAAUUCAAACAUUGAAAGAUUCUUGGCCAAUUUUUUUUGAAGAAGCCAAACAAGUCACUUCAAGCCUUGGCAGUGACCCAAAAAUGAAAAGUGACUCAAGGAUCCGGAAGAACAAGCGAUUCUUUGACGACACAGGGGAUGCAGACUAUACGUUUGACUCUUCCCCAUAUUCGGUUCAAAGUACAGGUGUUCUUCUCGACAAUAGAUUUGCUUCUAUCAGAGCUAGGAGGUCUUUGUGAAAGAAUGGCUGAAGCCUCAAAUUUAUUUUCACCCAUUUUGUGUCCGCCAGAUAAAAUGGAUGAAUCUUCUAUAGAAAAUUUUGUUGACACUUUGGCCACAGCAUAUCCAAAAGACCUCCAGAGAGAAGAUCUUAAAGAGGAACUUAGAAUCUUUUACAAAAUAAAACAAGAUUCCAACUUAAGAGUUGAUGGGUUAUAACCUCUGCACUUACAAAUCUGUAGAAACACAUUUUCCAACCCUUUUUUGAAGAAAGCAUUAAGAAGUGUAUUUGUUUACGCCUACGAACAGUGUUGCCAGUGUCGGCAGCAUCGGGAGAGCGUGCAUUUAGUAAGCUAACACUGAUUAAAAGUUGUUUGUGUUCAGCCACCGGGGAAGAAAGGCUGAACCAUUUGCUCACUUUGAGCAUAGAAUAUGAAAUGGCCAAAGACAUAAGUUUUGAUGACAUUAUUAAUGAGUUCGCCAAAAUGAAAGCAAGGGAAAAAAUUGCAGCUGUAUAA
Long non-coding RNA from Malaclemys terrapin pileata, 1430 nucleotides. RefSeq lists it as uncharacterized. The transcript has 5 exons. Lineage: Eukaryota; Metazoa; Chordata; Testudines; Emydidae. The record is from RefSeq and is a predicted model, not a curated record.